This 3414-nucleotide unclassified non-coding RNA is filed under the name Hevea brasiliensis (rubber tree). Lineage: Eukaryota; Viridiplantae; Streptophyta; Magnoliopsida; Malpighiales; Euphorbiaceae. The record is from RNAcentral.
UUCUUCUUUUUCUUCUUCUUCUUAAUUACUUAUUCUUCUACAUAAGCAUACAAUUCUCUACAGAUCCAACUUCACUGCUCUACAUUUCUUUUCUCUCUGCCCCAAUAUUUUCCUGGAAAAAUAUAUAGAAGAAUCUAGCAGAGUACUGCAUAACCCAGUAAUGGAUUCUCAUGUAAAACAGAAACAGCUGGAACUGUAAUUUCUCUCGCUUUCAACUUCUUCUUCUUCUUGGAGUUGUAGAGUCGCUUCGCUGCAGCAUUGCGUGAUGGAGGACAGGGAGGCACAAGUGCUGACAGGUUUGCCAAUGGAUGAACGGCUGAUGAGAUUUAUUAACAAAGAAUGGAAGGACGUGGAAAAGCGUUUCGAACAGCUGGCUUCUGCCGGAAAUGGGCCUGAACCGGUGGUGAAGUGGUCGGAUUUCGGUUUUUGUAUAGGAAUGCAACAAUCUCCAGAAUUUGCUAAAGAGGUCUUAAUGGCAAUAAGAGGAAGAGGAAGAGAAUUUAAACUUGAUAUCACAAGAAGAGAACUCCAUAGUUACUGGCAUCGGUUGACUGAUCCCUGUUUCCAUUCAAGAGUGAAAAUUUUCUUUGACAUGUGCGAUAGAAAUGGGGAUGGAAAAAUUAAUGAUAUGGACAUCAAGCAGGCAAUUUUGCUAACUGCUUCAGCAAAUAAAUUGUCUCUGUCACAUGAGGAAGCACAUGAAUGUGCUGCUUUAAUUAUGGAAGCUCUUGACGCUGAAGAGAGGGGCUUUAUUGAGCCACGUCAACUAGAAACUCUGUUCAAAGCAAGCUUAUCAUCACCACCACCUCCGUAUCAUCAAAACAAUUAUGAAAAUGAUCCAAGAGGCAAAACUAGGUCGAGGCUUGAAAUCCUGUUUCGAUCUUAUUGGAAACGAGCGUGGAUAACUGUGUUGUGGUUGGUGAUUUGCUUUUCAUUAUUCACAUGGAAGUUCAUCCAAUACAGGCAUAGAGCAGCUUUUGAAGUGAUGGGUUAUUGCCUUUGUACAGCCAAAGGAGCAGCUGAAACCUUGAAAUUUAAUAUGGCUCUAAUUCUUCUCCCUGUUUGUCGAAAUACCAUUACUUGGCUUCGCAGGAAGCCAACUUUCAAUUCUUUUGUACCUUUCAAUGAUAAUAUCAACUUCCACAAGGUAAUUGCAGGGGGCAUAGUGGUAGGUGUGAUACUCCAUGGAGCAACCCAUCUUGCUUGUGAUUUCCCAAGAAUUAGUGGUUCAAACCGGUCAAUUUUCUGGCAAACAAUAGCAGUCCGAUUUGGGUAUCAUCAGCCAUCAUAUAUUCAAAUUUUAGCCACAACAGAGGUGGCUACUGGAAUUGCCAUGGUAAUGCUAAUGACAGUUGCAUUUUUGCUAGCAACAAAAUGGCCUCGCCGGCAUUCUCCUUCUCUGCCUAGGUCCAUACGACAUGUCACCGGAUAUAACACUUUCUGGUACUCUCACCACUUGCUCAUUCUUGUCUAUGCCUUGCUCAUUGUUCACUCCAUGUUCCUCUUCCUAACUGACAAUGUAACUGAAAAAACGGUAUGCAUUUUGUUCCUUUUAUUUAUAUAUUGCAGAUAAGUACAUGAAAAUAUAAAAGAGUUUAUAUUUGAGUUUGAUUUUCUUUGCCUAUAGCUACUUACUGACAUAUGUUCACAUGUUUUUGCAUUAAUAAAUCACUCAAACUCGAAAUCUCACGAUUCUAACGACGACUUCGAUGACACUAAACUAAAACUUAUUGGUAGAACCCACAAUUUUUUACUUAACCGGAAUAUGUCCGAUUAGAAUCAGCACAUGUUAAUAUUAGAACCUUUUUGUGCAGACAUGGAUGUACGUUGCCUUUCCGGUUAUGCUAUAUGCCGCCGAACGUUUUGUUCGAGCACUAAGAUCAGGGUUUUUUGAUGCAAAAAUUAUCAAGGCAAGUAUUCAUCCAGGGAAAGUUUUAUCCCUCAAGCUGCACAAACCAGAAGGUUUCAAGCACAAGAGUGGGAUGUAUAUCUUCAUACAAUGUCCUCAGAUUUCUUUAUUUCAAUGGCACCCUUUUUCGUUAACUUCAGGACCAGAGGAUGAUCACUUAAGUGUUCAUAUCAGAACUCUAGGAGACUGGAGUUAUCAAAUAUACAGUCUCUUCCAGGAGGCAAGAGAAAGUGAUUCCACCAUUAAAAAGGAGGGGAAAAAAAAAACGAAAUGGAUGUUUGUUGUAGUGAUAUUGUUUCUGGGUUUUGCAGGCAAUACUAUCUGCGGUGAAGGAAUAUCCAAAAAUAUACAUUGAUGGACCCUAUGGUGCUGCUUCCCAAGAUCAUGUCAAGUAUGAUGUAGUCAUGCUAAUUGGACUUGGCAUAGGAGCCACACCUUUCAUUAGCAUCCUCAAAGAUGUUGCAAAUGGUCUCCACCAAAAGGCAUGGCUCUAAUUAAGCUCUGCUCUUCAUAAAAUUUCUACAUAUUCCAGAGUUUGACUUAAAUUUCAUGUAGGCCAAUUGUAGAGAAUGCAACAUUGCAAGAGGCCCUUUAAAAGCUUAUUUUUAUUGGGUUACAAGGGAACAAAGCUCCUUUGAUUGGUUUAGGGAUAUCUUGUGGGAAAUAUCAAAAACAAGCCAAAAGCAGGUAAUAUCUAAACAAUCCUUAUUUACAUUUUCUUUUUUUUUUUUACUUAAAUUCAAGACCUCAUAAUUUUAAAUACGAAUCAAGUACCACUAAACUAAAAUUCAUUAAUUAUUUACACUUCAUUGAAUUGGUAUUACUAUUACUUUAUAAUUUUAGAAACAACUUCAACAUUAACAGAUCGAAAUUCAUUAAUUAAUUUAUUUUUUUAAUGGUACCCCGCAAAGUAUUUCUUUGCUGUACUGACAUUUUCCCAUUUGCCUGCCUGGUGAUCCUUCUAGUCUAUCAUAGAAAUGCACAACUUUUUAACCAGUGUUUAUCAAGAAGGGGAUGCAAGAUCUGCUUUGAUAAGUGCUAUACAAGCAUUGUAUCAUGCCAAGAAAGGCAUUGAUAUUGUUUCUUGGAAUCAGGUAAAAUAUAUUGCUACUCUUUUUAUAAAAUUAUAUUUAAUUUCAACUAAUUUUCAAUAUACAAUCAAAUAAAAAAAUUAUUUUUUAAAAAAUAUUAUUUUACAGAAAAAUUAUUUGAUAUAGUGCUUCAAAGUCAUUUAAUUUGAAAUUAGAAAUAAGUGAUGAAAUUUCAGGCACGUACGCAAUUUGGUCGCCCAAAUUGGUUCAAUAUUUUCUCCAAAUUGGCUGCAAGGCACAGAGGAGAACGAAUUGGAGUAUUCUACUGCGGCCCAUCAACACUUGCAAAGGAGUUGGAGACGUUGUGCAUCAAAUUCUCAACCAAAUCAAGUACUAGAUUUGUAUUUCACAAGGAGAACUAUUAGAUGUGCAGUGUAUUAGUCUUGUAUAGAUUCCAAUAAGAAUGGGAAAUGA